Molecule: unclassified non-coding RNA, 200 nt
Filed under: soil metagenome
Description: partial contains internal transcribed spacer 2 and large subunit ribosomal RNA
Source: RNAcentral
UGAAAUGCAGGUGCAGCUGGACAUUCUCCUGAGCUAAAAGCAUAUUCAUUUAGUCCCGUCAAACGGAUUAUUACUUUUGCUGCAGCUAACAUAAAGGGAGUUUGACCGUAUUGGCUGACUGAUGCAGGAUUUCACAAGGGUCGGCAACGAUUCUUGUUAAACUCGAUCUCAAAUCAAGUAAGACUACCCGCUGAACUUAA